This 71-nucleotide transfer RNA is filed under the name human gut metagenome. It matches the Rfam family "tRNA". Rfam says of the family: Transfer RNA (tRNA) molecules are approximately 80 nucleotides in length. Their secondary structure includes four short double-helical elements and three loops (D, anti-codon, and T loops). The record is from RNAcentral.
GGGUAUAGCUCAGCUGGUUAGAGCGCUUGCUUGACAUGCAAGAGGUCACUGGUUCGAAUCCAGUUAUCCUC